GAUGAACGCUGGCGGCGUGCCUAAUACAUGCAAGUCGAGCGAACAGACGAGGAGCUUGCUCCUCUGACGUUAGCGGCGGACGGGUGAGUAACACGUGGAUAACCUACCUAUAAGACUGGGAUAACUUCGGGAAACCGGAGCUAAUACCGGAUAAUAUAUUGAACCGCAUGGUUCAAUAGUGAAAGACGGUUUUGCUGUCACUUAUAGAUGGAUCCGCGCCGCAUUAGCUAGUUGGUAAGGUAACGGCUUACCAAGGCAACGAUGCGUAGCCGACCUGAGAGGGUGAUCGGCCACACGGGAACUGAGACACGGUCCAGACUCCUACGGGAGGCAGCAGUAGGGAAUCUUCCGCAAUGGGCGAAAGCCUGACGGAGCAACGCCGCGUGAGUGAUGAAGGUCUUCGGAUCGUAAAACUCUGUUUUUAGGGAAGAACAAAUGUGUAAGUAACUAUGCACGUCUUGACGGUACCUAGUCAGAAAGCCACGGCUAACUACGUG
Molecule: ribosomal RNA, 497 nt
Filed under: uncultured bacterium
Lineage: Bacteria
Description: partial 16S ribosomal RNA
Rfam family: Bacterial small subunit ribosomal RNA
Source: RNAcentral